RNAcentral lists this ribosomal RNA (847 nucleotides) under uncultured bacterium. Its description in RNAcentral is "bacterial SSU rRNA". It matches the Rfam family "Bacterial small subunit ribosomal RNA", at positions 28 to 874 of the family's 1533-position model. The record is from RNAcentral.
GAUGAACGCUGGCGGCGUGCUUAACACAUGCAAGUCGAGCGAAGCGAUUGAACGGAAGUUUUCGGAUGGAAGUUCAAUUGACUGAGCGGCGGACGGGUGAGUAACGCGUGGGUAACCUGCCUCAUACAGGGGGAUAACAGUUAGAAAUGACUGCUAAUACCGCAUAAGACCACAGCACCGCCUGGUGCAGAGGUAAAAACUCCGGUGGUAUGAGAUGGACCCGCGUCUGAUUAGCUAGUUGGUGAGGUAACGGCCCACCAAGGCGACGAUCAGUAGCCGACCUGAGAGGGUGACCGGCCACAUUGGGACUGAGACACGGCCCAAACUCCUGCGGGAGGCAGCAGUGGGGAAUAUUGCACAAUGGGCGAAAGCCUGAUGCAGCAACGCCGCGUGAGUGAAGAAGUAUUUCGGUAUGUAAAGCUCUAUCAGCAGGGAAGAAAAUGACGGUACCUGACUAAGAAGCCCCGGCUAACUACGUGCCAGCAGCCGCGGUAAUACGUAGGGGGCAAGCGUUAUCCGGAUUUACUGGGGUGUAAAGGGAGCGUAGACGGCGAAGCAAGUCUGGAGUGAAAACCCAGGGCUCAACCCUGGGACUGCUUUGGAAACUGUUUUGCUGGAGUGUCGGAGAGGUGAGUGGAAUUCCUAGUGUAGCGGUGAAAUGCGUAGAUAUUAGGAGGAACACCAGUGGCGAAGGCGGCUCACUGGACGAUAACUGACGUUGAGGCUCGAAAGCGUGGGGAGCAAACAGGAUUAGAUACCCUGGUAGUCCACGCCGUAAACGAUGAAUGCUAGGUGUUGGGGAGCAAAGCUCUUCGGUGCCGUCGCAAACGCAAUAAGCAUUCCACCU